AUCCCUGGAGCGCAAUGGAUAGCGCGUUGGACUUCUAAUCCAAAGGUCGACAUUUGAAUCCCCCCUGGGAUG
This is a non-coding RNA of Trichonephila inaurata madagascariensis, 72 nucleotides long. Lineage: Eukaryota; Metazoa; Arthropoda; Arachnida; Araneae; Nephilidae. The record is from the annotation of a GenBank genome assembly.